CAUCCUGUUCCUUUAGCUUCAGGCGGCUAAUCUAGCUAGUUAGAUAAAAACAACACAGAUGAUUUGUUUAUAUAACCGUUAUCAUCUUUACGAAACCGAAUGCUUAUUACGAACUACUCCGAAUUCUAAAUACAAAACAAUUAUUACCGGUGAUGGAGUGGGGACUGAGGCUGCUAGACUUUUAAGAUGCACCCAGGGGAGGUUGCGUACCCCAAAAUCAGCCACAUGACAAAUAUUACUGUGGACAUCCCUCCCAACAAUGUUGAUGGUCUAUGGGGCAUCCAAUACAUUGCAACUCUAAAGUUUGGCAGGGGCCUUGGCCCAGAGUCAAUACUAUAAUUCUAACCCUGGAUGUGCCAGUUUAUCAUAAAGUUUAGGCCAGGGUUUUCCCAUGAGUUGCACUAUUGAACAUAUAUGCUAGAGUAGCCUACAAGCUUUUACAUUGAAAUAUAUUUUUCCAGGGCUAUUAAAGUUGGGGGUGGCAGCUAACCUAGUGGUGAGAACGUUGGGCCAGUGACCGAAAGGUUGCUGGAUUGAAUCCAUGAGCUGACAAGGUAAAUAUCUGUCACUCUGCCCCUGAACAAGGCAGUUAACCCACUGUUCCCCGGUAGGCUGUCAUUGUAAAUAAGAAUUUGUUCGUAACUGACUUGCCUAGUUAAAUAAAGGUUAAGUUGAAAGUGAAUGUUUUUAAACCUGACAUUUAGCCAAAAGUCACAUGAUUAAUUAGGAAAGGAAAAUCAGGCUUUGUCCUUAUGGUAGACUGAAGGUUUCGCAGUCAAUGGGCACAAUGGUCUAAGACAAUGCAUCUCAGUGCAAGAGGGGUCACUGCAGUACCUGGUUCGAAUCCAGGCUGCAUUGAAUCCAUGCUGCUCUCAAUCACCGACUGUGAUUGGGAGUCCUAUAGGGUGGCGCACAAUUGGCAGUCUUUGUAAAUAAGAAUUUGUUCUUAACUGACUUGCCUGGUUAAAUAAAUCAAUGGCAUUUUAGCAAUGCGAGUUGACUGCAGCAAGAUGAUGACAGCACAUGAGAUGAUGACAGCACUGUAUGUGAAUCAUUAUUACAGAUGACUAUCUAGAGUGACAAUCCAAGAGGAAUAACAUUGUUGUGGAUGGCGUUCCAGUCUCCACUUGAGACCUUGAUGGAGAAAGUGAGAAAAAUCACCAAAAAGCUACAGAUGGACCAUAAGAAGAUUGCAAGUUCAUCUGCCUCAUCUAAAUAUGUGCUCAAUGCUUGAUGGUGUUACGAUGUUAACAGAUAAUCAUUUUUCUGGUUGCUCUGAAGGGGAAGCUGUCCUCUCAAGGGGAAGCUUCUAACUGUGGCUAAUGCCUGUAAUAUGACUCAGGCUAAUUACUCAACCAACUAGAGUGCAUACCAAUAGUGUUGGAUCUGUGACAUCCACUUGUAUUGGUCAUAUCUUCAAUAAUGCUGCAGGGCUUUGCUCCAAAGCAAUAUCAGUUCCCAUUGGCUGUAGUGACCAUAACAUUGUGGCAAUAACAAGGAAAGCCAAAGGUUGUGCCUAAAGUAAUUUAUAAAAGAUCACACAAAGUGUUUUCUCAGGACAAUUUUGUUGAAGAUGUAAAAAAAGUGUAUGUUGGUCUGAUGUGUAUGAAGAAGUGAAUCCAGAUGCAGCACUGGAAGUUAUUCAUGCAAAUUGUUGACAAGCAUGCACCUGUUAAGAAAUUAAAUGUGAGAACUGUUGGA
Molecule: non-coding RNA, 1701 nt
Organism: Salmo salar (Atlantic salmon)
Lineage: Eukaryota; Metazoa; Chordata; Actinopteri; Salmoniformes; Salmonidae
Source: RefSeq, a predicted model, not a curated record